This 403-nucleotide ribosomal RNA is filed under the name uncultured bacterium. RNAcentral's name for it is "bacterial SSU rRNA". It matches the Rfam family "Bacterial small subunit ribosomal RNA", at positions 355 to 774 of the family's 1533-position model. The record is from RNAcentral.
UAGGGAAUAUUGCAAAAUGGGCGAAAGCCCGAUGCAGCAACGCCGCGUGGGCGAUGAAGGCCUUCGGGUCGUAAAGCCCUUUUUGAGGGGAUGAGGAAGGACAGUACCCUCAGAAUAAGCCUCGGCUAACUACGUGCCAGCAGCCGCGGUAAAACGUAGGAGGCGAGCGUUAUCCGGAUUUACUGGGCGUAAAGCGCGUGCGGGCGGAUUGGAGAGUUGGAUGUGAAAGCUCCCGGCUUAACUGGGAGAGGUCGUUCAAUACUUCCAGUCUUGAGUGCAGUAGAGGGAAGUGGAAUUCCGGGUGUAGUGGUGAAAUGCGUAGAUAUCCGGAGGAACACCAGUGGCGAAAGCGGCUUCCUGGACUGUAACUGACGCUCAGACGCGAAAGCUAGGGUAGCAAACG